Molecule: ribosomal RNA, 486 nt
Filed under: uncultured bacterium
Lineage: Bacteria
Description: bacterial SSU rRNA
Rfam family: Bacterial small subunit ribosomal RNA
Source: RNAcentral
AUUGAACGCUGCGGCAGGCCUAACACAUGGCAAGGUCGAGCGGUAGAGAGGUGCUUGCAUCUCUUGAGAGCGGCGGACGGGUGAGUAAUGCCUAGGAAUCUGCCUAGUGGUGGGGGAUAACGUUCGGAAACGGACGCUAAUACCGCAUACGUCCUACGGGAGAAANCGGGGGAUCUUCGGGACCUCGCGCCAUUAGAUGAGCCUAGGUCGGAUUAGCUAGUUGGUGAGGUAAUGGCUCACCAAGGCGACGAUCCGUAACUGGUCUGAGAGGAUGAUCAGUCACACUGGAACUGAGACACGGUCCAGACUCCUACGGGAGGCAGCAGUGGGGAAUAUUGGACAAUGGGCGAAAGCCUGAUCCAGCCAUGCCGCGUGUGUGAAGAAGGUCUUCGGAUUGUAAAGCACUUUAAGUUGGGAGGAAGGGCAGUAAGUUAAUACCUUGCUGUUUUGACGUUACCAACAGAAUAAGCACCGGCUAACUUCGUG